RNAcentral lists this ribosomal RNA (526 nucleotides) under Melanohalea aff. ushuaiensis SL-2012. Its description in RNAcentral is "eukaryotic LSU rRNA". It matches the Rfam family "Eukaryotic large subunit ribosomal RNA", at positions 112 to 650 of the family's 3401-position model. The record is from RNAcentral. Lineage: Eukaryota; Fungi; Ascomycota; Lecanoromycetes; Lecanorales; Parmeliaceae.
AAUUUGAAAUCUGGCCCCCUCGGGGUCCGAGUUGUAAUUUGUAGAGAGUGCUUCGGGUGAGACCGCGGUCUAAGUCCAUUGGAACAUGGCGUCCUAGAGGGUGAGAAUCCCGUAUGUGACCGUGGCUCGAGCCCUUGUGAAGCCUCUUCGACGAGUCGAGUUGUUUGGGAAUGCAGCUCAAAAUGGGUGGUAAAUUUCAUCUAAAGCUAAAUACUGGCUGGAGACCGAUAGCGCACAAGUAGAGUGAUCGAAAGAUGAAAAGCACUUUGGAAAGAGAGUUAAACAGUACGUGAAAUUGUUGAAAGGGAAGCGCUUGCAACCAGACCUGCCCGUAGGCGAUCAACCGCUGUUCUCAGCGGUGCACUCGCUCUGCGAUCAGGCCAGCAUCGGUUCUGGCGACCGGAUAAAGGCCUUGGGAAUGUAGCUUCCCUUCGGGGGAGUCUUAUAGCCCUCGGUGCAAUGCGGCCAGCCGGGACCGAGGACCGCGCUUCGGCUAGGAUGCUGGCGUAAUGGUUGUAAGCGACCC